This 1080-nucleotide ribosomal RNA is filed under the name uncultured organism. RNAcentral describes it as "bacterial SSU rRNA". It matches the Rfam family "Bacterial small subunit ribosomal RNA", at positions 232 to 1330 of the family's 1533-position model. The record is from RNAcentral.
CGCGGUCCAUCAGCUUGUUGGUGAGGUAACGGCUCACCAAGGCGACGACGGAUAGCUGGUCUGAGAGGAUGACCAGUCACACUGGGACUGAGACACUGCCCAGACUCCUACGGGAGGCUGCAGUCGAGAAUCUUCCGCAAUGGGCGCAAGCCUGACGGAGCGAUGCUGCGUGCCGGACGAAGGCCUUCGGGUCGUAAACGGCUGUCACUCGGGACGAAUUUUGACGGUACCGAGAGAGGAAGCCACGGCUAACUACGUGCCAGCAGCCGCGGUAAUACGUAGGUGGCGAGCGUUAUUCGGAAUUAUUGGGCCUAGAGGGUUCGUAGGGGGUAAUGUAAGUCCGGUGUGAAAUCUCGAGGCUCAACCUCGAAACUGCAUUGGAAACUGCAUUACUUGAGUGUCAGAGAGGAAAGCGGAAUUCCUGGUGUAGCGGUGGAAUGCGUAGAUAUCAGGAAGAACACCGACGGCGAAGGCAGCUUUCUGGCUGGCAACUGACCCUGAUGAACGAAAGCUAGGGUAGCGAACAGGAUUAGAUACCCUGGUAGUCCUAGCUGUAAACGUUGUGCACUGGAUGUGGGCGGAUUUGGUCCCGUCUGUGUCUGAGCGAAGGCGUUAAGUGCACCGCCUGGGGACUACGGCCGCAAGGCUAAAACUCAAGGGAAUUGACGGGGGCCCGCACAAGCGGUGGAGCAUGUGGCUCAAUUCGAGGCAACGCGAAGAACCUUACCUGGGUUUGACAUAUACCUGACCGCCGGUGAGAGCCGGUUUCUCUUUGAGCAGGUAUACAGGUGCUGCAUGGCUGUCGACAGCUCGUGCUGUGAAGUGUUCGGUUAAGUCCGGCAACGAGCGCAACCCACGCUGUUAGUUACCAUCAGGUAAUGCUGGGGACUCUAACAGGACUGCCCGUGCUAAGCGGGAGGAAGGCGUGGACGACGUCAAGUCCGCAUGGCCCUUACGCCCAGGGCUGCACACGUGCUACAAUGGCCGGUACAGAGGGUCGCCACUCUGCGAAGAGGAGCUAAUCCCGAAAACCGGCCCCAGUUCGGAUUGGAGUCUGCAACCCGACUCCAUGAAGUAGGA